AUUGAACGCUGGCGGCAGGCCUAACACAUGCAAGUCGAGCGGAUGAAGGGAGCUUGCGCCUGGAUUCAGCGGCGGACGGGCGAGUAAUGCCUAGGAAUCUGCCUGGCAGUGGGGGAUAACGUCCGGAAACGGGCGCUAAUACCGCAUACGUCCAGAGGGUGAAAGGGGGGGAUCUUCGGACCACACGGUAUCAGAUGACCCUAGGUCGGAUUAGCUAGUUGGUGUGGUAACGGCCUACCAAGGCGACGAUCCGUAACUGGUCUGAGAGGAUGAUCAGUCACACUGGAACUGAGACACGGUCCAGACUCCUACGGGAGGCAGCAGUGGGGAAUAUUGGACAAUGGGCGAAAGCCUGACCCAGCCAUGCCGCGUGUGUGAAGAAGGUCUUCGGAUUGUAAAGCACUUUAAGUUGGGAGGAAGGGCAGUAAGUUAAUACCUUGAUGUUUUGACGUUACCAACAGAAUAAGCACCGGCUAACUUCGUG
This 484-nucleotide ribosomal RNA is filed under the name uncultured bacterium. Its description in RNAcentral is "partial 16S ribosomal RNA". It matches the Rfam family "Bacterial small subunit ribosomal RNA", at positions 30 to 507 of the family's 1533-position model. The record is from RNAcentral.